RNAcentral lists this ribosomal RNA (302 nucleotides) under uncultured bacterium. RNAcentral's name for it is "partial 16S ribosomal RNA". It matches the Rfam family "Bacterial small subunit ribosomal RNA", at positions 508 to 807 of the family's 1533-position model. The record is from RNAcentral.
GCAGUCGCCGCGGUAAUACGAAGGGUGCAAGCGUUAAUCGGAAUUACUGGGCGUAAAGCGUGCGUAGGCGGUUUGUUAAGUCUGCUGUGAAAUCCCCGGGCUCAACCUGGGAACUGCAUCCAAAACUGGCGAGCUAGAGUAUGGUAGAGGGUGGUGGAAUUUCCUGUGUAGCGGUGAAAUGCGUAGAUAUAGGAAGGAACAUCAGUGGCGAAGGCGACCACCUGGACUGAUACUGACACUGAGGUGCGAAAGCGUGGGGAGCAAACAGGAUUAGAUACCCGGGUAGUCCCUGUCUCUUAUAC